Molecule: ribosomal RNA, 253 nt
Filed under: uncultured bacterium
Lineage: Bacteria
Description: partial 16S ribosomal RNA
Rfam family: Bacterial small subunit ribosomal RNA
Source: RNAcentral
UACGGGGGGGGCAAGCGUUGUUCGGAAUUACUGGGCGUAAAGGGCUCGUAGGUGGCCAACUAAGUCAGACGUGAAAUCCCUCGGCUUAACCGGGGAACUGCGUCUGAUACUGGAUGGCUUGAGUUUGGGAGAGGGAUGCGGAAUUCCAGGUGUAGCGGUGAAAUGCGUAGAUAUCUGGAGGAACACCGGUGGCGAAGGCGGCAUCCUGGACCAAUAUUGACGCUGAGGAGCGAAAGCUAGGGGAGCAAACGGG